RNAcentral lists this ribosomal RNA (109 nucleotides) under Saimiri boliviensis boliviensis (Bolivian squirrel monkey). Lineage: Eukaryota; Metazoa; Chordata; Mammalia; Primates; Cebidae. The record is from RNAcentral.
GUCUACGGCCAUACCAUCCUGAACGCGCCCGAUCUUGUCUGAUCUCAGAAGCUAAGCAGGUUCAGGCCUAGUUAGUACUUGGAUCGGAGAAAAUAGCCAAUUUUUGAAA